RNAcentral lists this ribosomal RNA (1303 nucleotides) under metagenome. RNAcentral describes it as "bacterial SSU rRNA". It matches the Rfam family "Bacterial small subunit ribosomal RNA", at positions 170 to 1498 of the family's 1533-position model. The record is from RNAcentral.
CGCAUAAGCCCACGACCCGGCAUCGGGUAGAGGGAAAAGGAGCAAUCCGCUUUGAGAUGGCCUCGCGUCCGAUUAGCUAGUUGGUGAGGUAACGGCCCACCAAGGCGACGAUCGGUAGCCGGACUGAGAGGUUGAACGGCCACAUUGGGACUGAGACACGGCCCAGACUCCUACGGGAGGCAGCAGUGGGGAAUAUUGCACAAUGGGGGAAACCCUGAUGCAGCGACGCCGCGUGGAGGAAGAAGGUCUUCGGAUUGUAAACUCCUGUUGUUGAGGAAGAUAAUGACGGUACUCAACAAGGAAGUGACGGCUAACUACGUGCCAGCAGCCGCGGUAAAACGUAGGUCACAAGCGUUGUCCGGAAUUACUGGGUGUAAAGGGAGCGCAGGCGGGAAGACAAGUUGGAAGUGAAAUCCAUGGGCUCAACCCAUGAACUGCUUUCAAAACUGUUUUUCUUGAGUAGCGCAGAGGUAGGCGGAAUUCCCGGUGUAGCGGUGGAAUGCGUAGAUAUCGGGAGGAACACCAGUGGCGAAGGCGGCCUACUGGGCACCAACUGACGCUGAGGCUCGAAAGUGUGGGUAGCAAACAGGAUUAGAUACCCUGGUAGUCCACACUGUAAACGAUGAUUACUAGGUGUUGGAGGAUUGACCCCUUCAGUGCCGCAGUUAACACAAUAAGUAAUCCACCUGGGGAGUACGACCGCAAGGUUGAAACUCAAAGGAAUUGACGGGGGCCCGCACAAGCAGUGGAGUAUGUGGUUUAAUUCGACGCAACGCGAAGAACCUUACCAAGUCUUGACAUCCUGCGACGGACUAGAAAUAUGUUUUUCCUUCGGGACGCAGAGACAGGUGGUGCAUGGUUGUCGUCAGCUCGUGUCGUGAGAUGUUGGGUUAAGUCCCGCAACGAGCGCAACCCUUAUGGUCAGUUACUACGCAAGAGGACUCUGGCCUGACUGCCGUUGACAAAACGGAGGAAGGUGGGGAUGACGUCAAAUCAUCAUGCCCUUUAUGACUUGGGCUACACACGUACUACAAUGGCGUUAAACAAAGAGAAGCAAGACCGCGAGGUGGAGCAAAACUCAGAAACAACGUCCCAGUUCGGACUGCAGGCUGCAACUCGCCUGCACGAAGUCGGAAUUGCUAGUAAUCGCAGAUCAGCAUGCUGCGGUGAAUACGUUCCCGGGCCUUGUACACACCGCCCGUCACACCAUGAGAGCCGGGGGGACCCGAAGUCGGUAGUCUAACCGCAAGGAGGACGCCGCCGAAGGUAAAACUGGUGAUUGGGGUGAAGUCGGAACAAGGUA